RNAcentral lists this ribosomal RNA (67 nucleotides) under Typhula ishikariensis. Its description in RNAcentral is "partial 28S large subunit ribosomal RNA". The stretch from base 11 to 67 matches the Rfam family "Eukaryotic large subunit ribosomal RNA", at positions 1 to 57 of the family's 3401-position model. The record is from RNAcentral. Lineage: Eukaryota; Fungi; Basidiomycota; Agaricomycetes; Agaricales; Typhulaceae.
UUUGACAUUUUGACCUCAAAUCAGGUAGGACUACCCGCUGAACUUAAGCAUAUCAAUAAGCGGAGGA